Molecule: ribosomal RNA, 379 nt
Filed under: uncultured Methanosaeta sp.
Lineage: Archaea; Methanobacteriati; Methanobacteriota; Methanomicrobia; Methanotrichales; Methanotrichaceae
Description: bacterial SSU rRNA
Rfam family: Archaeal small subunit ribosomal RNA
Source: RNAcentral
GCGCGAAAACUUUACAAUGCUGGCAACAGCGAUAAGGGAACCUCGAGUGCCAGGUUACAAAUCUGGCUGUCGUGAUGCCUAAAAAAGCAUUAUAUAGCAAGGGCCGGGCAAGACCGGUGCCAGCCGCCGCGGUAACACCGGCGGCUCGAGUGGUAACCGUUAUUAUUGGGUCUAAAGGGUCUGUAGCCGGCCGGAUAAGUCUCUUGAGAAAUCUGGCAGCUUAACUGUCAGGCUUUCAGGAGAUACUGUCUGGCUUGAGGCCGGGAGAGGUGCAUGGAACUCACGGUGUAGGGGUGAAAUCCGUUGAUAUCGUGGGGAACACCAAAGGCGAAGGCAGUGCACUGGUCUGUUUCUGACGCUCACACACGAAAGCUAGGGG